AGUGAACGCUGGCGGUAGGCCUAACACAUGCAAGUCGAACGGCAGCACAGUAAGAGCUUGCUCUUACGGGUGGCGAGUGGCGGACGGGUGAGGAAUACAUCGGAAUCUACUUUUUCGUGGGGGAUAACGUAGGGAAACUUACGCUAAUACCGCAUACGACCUACGGGUGAAAGCAGGGGAUCUUCGGACCUUGCGCGAUUGAAUGAGCCGAUGUCGGAUUAGCUAGUUGGCGGGGUAAAGGCCCACCAAGGCGACGAUCCGUAGCUGGUCCGAGAGGAUGAUCAGCCACACUGGAACUGAGACACGGUCCAGACUCCUACGGGAGGCAGCAGUGGGGAAUAUUGGACAAUGGGCGCAAGCCUGAUCCAGCCAUACCGCGUGGGUGAAGAAGGCCUUCGGGUUGUAAAGCCCUUUUGUUGGGAAAGAAAAGCAGCAGGUUAAUACCCCGCUAUUCUGACGGUACCCAAAGAAUAAGCACCGGCUAACUUCGUG
This 492-nucleotide ribosomal RNA is filed under the name uncultured bacterium. RNAcentral's name for it is "partial 16S ribosomal RNA". It matches the Rfam family "Bacterial small subunit ribosomal RNA", at positions 29 to 507 of the family's 1533-position model. The record is from RNAcentral.